This 102-nucleotide microRNA precursor is filed under the name Marmota monax (woodchuck). Lineage: Eukaryota; Metazoa; Chordata; Mammalia; Rodentia; Sciuridae. The record is from RNAcentral.
AGUGGGAUAACUGGGUAGAAUGGUGGUUCAUUUCAAGUUUUCUGAGGAAUCUCCAUACUGCUUUCCAGAGUGGUUGCACCAAUUUGCAGUCCCAUCAGCAAU